Molecule: ribosomal RNA, 497 nt
Filed under: uncultured bacterium
Lineage: Bacteria
Description: partial 16S ribosomal RNA
Rfam family: Bacterial small subunit ribosomal RNA
Source: RNAcentral
GAUGAACGCUGGCGGCGUGCCUAAUACAUGCAAGUCGAGCGAACAGACGAGGAGCUUGCUCCUCUGACGUUAGCGGCGGACGGGUGAGUAACACGUGGAUAACCUACCUAUAAGACUGGGAUAACUUCGGGAAACCGGAGCUAAUACCGGAUAAUAUAUUUAACCGCAUGGUUCAAUAGUGAAAGACGGUUUUGCUGUCACUUAUAGAUGGAUCCGCGCCGCAUUAGCUAGUUGGUAAGGUAACGGCUUACCAAGGCAACGAUGCGUAGCCGACCUGAGAGGGUGAUCGGCCACGCUGGAACUGAGACACGGUCCAGACUCCUACGGGAGGCAGCAGUAGGGAAUCUUCCGCAAUGGUCGAAAGCCUGACGGAGCAACGCCGAGUGAGGGAUCAAGGUCUUCGGAUCGUAAAACUCUGUUAUUAGGGAAGAACAAAUGUGUAAGUAACUAUGCACGUCUUGACGGUACCUAAUCAGAAAGCCACGGCUAACUACGUG